This 497-nucleotide ribosomal RNA is filed under the name uncultured bacterium. RNAcentral describes it as "partial 16S ribosomal RNA". It matches the Rfam family "Bacterial small subunit ribosomal RNA", at positions 28 to 507 of the family's 1533-position model. The record is from RNAcentral.
GAUGAACGCUGGCGGCGUGCCUAAUACAUGCAAGUCGAGCGAACAGACGAGGAGCUUGCUCCUCUGACGUUAGCGGCGGACGGGUGAGUAACACGUGGAUAACCUACCUAUAAGACUGGGAUAACUUCGGGAAACCGGAGCUAAUACCGGAUAACAUGUUGAACCGCAUGGUUCAACAGUGAAAGACGGUUUUGCUGUCACUUAUAGAUGGAUCCGCGCCGCAUUAGCUAGUUGGUAAGGUAACGGCUUACCAAGGCAACGAUGCGUAGCCGACCUGAGAGGGUGAUCGGCCACACUGGAACUGAGACAGGGUCCAGACUCCUACGGGAGGCAGCAGUAGGGAAUCUUACGCAAUGGGCGAAAGCCUGACGGAGCAACGCCGCGUGAGUGAAGAAGGUCUUCGGAUCGUAAAACUCUGUUAUUAGGGAAGAACAAAUGUGUAAGUAACUAUGCACGUCUUGACGGUACCUAAUCAGAAAGCCACGGCUAACUACGUG